GUGUUUAUUCAGUGAGAUCACAAAAUGGCCGCCAACUGUCAUUUGUCAUGUAAAAACGGUGAAUUUUUCGAAUUGUUUCGAAAUAAAAUGCAUGCAAGGACAAAAAACGCAUAUCAAGAUGUUGUCGAUGAGUCACCACAUACCGAUUUUCCAGCGACCAUUAUUCAGUGCAGUGCAGUUCAGAAUCCAAGUGAAACUGGACGACCACUCGCGUUCAACUGUCGGAUGUCAAA
Long non-coding RNA from Dalotia coriaria, 233 nucleotides. RefSeq lists it as uncharacterized. The transcript has 2 exons. The record is from RefSeq and is a predicted model, not a curated record. NCBI's taxonomy places the organism in Eukaryota, Metazoa, Arthropoda, Insecta, Coleoptera, Staphylinidae.